This 498-nucleotide ribosomal RNA is filed under the name uncultured bacterium. RNAcentral describes it as "bacterial SSU rRNA". It matches the Rfam family "Bacterial small subunit ribosomal RNA", at positions 66 to 543 of the family's 1533-position model. The record is from RNAcentral.
ACGCGAAAGCCCCCUUCGGGGGGCAAGUAGAGUGGCGCACGGGUGAGUAACACGUAGGUAAUCUACCUUUGGAUGGGGAAUAACCACCGGAAACGGUGGCUAAUACCGCAUAAUGCAGCGGCACCUAAUGGUGACAGUUGUUAAAGCGGGGGAUCGCAAGACCUCGCGUCUGAAGAGGAGCCUGCGGCAGAUUAGCUAGUUGGUAAGGUAAAGGCUUACCAAGGCGAUGAUCUGUAGCCGGCCUGAGAGGGCGGUCGGCCACACUGACACUGACAUACGGGUCAGACUCCUACGGGAGGCAGCAGUCGGGAAUUUUGGGCAAUGGGCGAAAGCCUGACCCAGCAACGCCGCGUGAAGGAUGAAAUCCCUCGGGAUGUAAACUUCGCAAGAACGGGAAGAAUAAGCCGGUGCCAACACCACCGGCGAUGACGGUACUGUUUGUAAGCUCCGGCUAACUCCGUGCCAGCAGCCGCGGUAAUACGGGGGGAGCAAGCGUUG